Molecule: long non-coding RNA, 3360 nt
Filed under: Homo sapiens (human)
Lineage: Eukaryota; Metazoa; Chordata; Mammalia; Primates; Hominidae
Description: HSALNT0244528
Source: RNAcentral
UUAAAAGGGAAUUUUAAAAUGAUCCCUAAAAAUCUGUUGUUUUAGGACGUGAAUCAGCUUAGAUCGUUAUAGAAUAGAUUGAUCUAGAUUGCUCUGUGAAAUCUUUACCUUAGACACUCAUUUUUACAUAACUUCAGAAGUCAACCAGCCCAACUUCUUUAUUUUACAUGUGAAAAAAACCAGUAUCAGGAAGGCAAGCCACCUUACUCAAAGUUAAAGAAAAAAAUCCAAACUGUAUUUGCAUCAUCCUUUAUCCACAUGGCUGCUACCAAAAUUCAAAUGAGAAAUAAGAUGAGAAUAAAUGGUGAGAGAAAGUUCAUGAAUAAGUUCCAUGGGCAGAUCAAUCUUCUCACUUUGGUUAUUCAGUAGAAUUUCUCAACAUAAAAUUAGCUGCUGUUAACUGCAUUCUAAUUCCUCAGUUCCCUAAUUUAGGGAGAAGAAACUGAAAAUACAUGGUUUCUCAAUUCAAUUUUGGUGGUAGACGUGUAGUAAAUAAAACCAAACUAUAAAACAUAAUGAAGAUGACAUCUAGCUCUCUGGCAUGAAUACUUGCAGGUAGCUCUUUGCAUGCCAUUUAAAGAAUCCUAGAAUGAGAUCUGAGAUUAGAGAAAAAUGUUUUAUGAGAAAAUAUUCAUCGGGAAGGUGUUAUUAGGAAGACAAGUUAUCAGAAUCUGCACCCAAAAAGAAUCUGAUUUAAGAAAUGGAUGUGUGAAUAUUUUUGCAGAAAAGGAUUUUUGUUAUCUACCAUAACUACAGGAUUAGCACACAGCAAUUUCAAAUCAGCCUAUGGCUAUGAUUUUUCUAGGCAAAUCAUGAUUAAAUUAUAAAGCAUUUAAUAUUAAAACUUGAUGGACAAAACUAAUGUGAGGAAAUUAAUCCAGAGCUUCGUUAAAGUCAAGAUAGAUCACAUAUAUCUUAUAUCCUUUAGCAACCGUAUCUGUCAGUCAGUCACAGAUGAUUAGACUCAUUCAGCUACAGACAUUUGGAGCUGGCAGAGACUCAGAGAUUAGUCUGGAUGGUUUGAACUUAUUCACUGCAAAGAGACAAGGAAAGUGGCAUAUCUGUCAAUGGAGCUGCCGUUGAACAGGGCUUGGGAAUUACUGCACUGCUAGGAAACAAGGCAACUUUAUAAAAGAGAAUUAAUUAUGCCAUGAUUCAUAGUCACUGGCUGUACUAUAAAUACUUUUAUGGAAGUGUUUUUCUUUUCCUUUUUCCUUCCCAUUUUUUUUUCCCCAGAAAGCCUGUGUGGAUGAAUAUUGCUUCCAGGAGUCACAUAAUUACAUCUAAAAUCAUAGAAUGUUAGAGCUGGAGGAAUCUUUAGAGUUUGCCCAAGGUCCUUCACCAGCAUUUUACAGAAGAUUCUUCGAUUUAACUGCUCUUAAUUACAUCCCGUUGCACUGGCCCCAUCAAGUUGCUUUAAACAGCCCUUCUAGUCAACAGAGCUGCAGAGAAAAACCUUGGUUGGUUCAGGUCACUAGGAUGCAGAGCUGUCACACUUCAUUUGUGAGAACACUCCAGAGCUUCCUCCAGCUGCUGAUUCCAAACCAGCUUCACAGUGCCUGGAUACAUGUUAUCUUCUGAGAAAGGCCAUCUCUAACCACUCUGUUCUUCCAGUACAAGCAAGCCGCUCCUGGGUCUUAUCUCUAUUUUAUCCACAGAACUCAUUUAUUUCCUUGCUUUUUAUACCUUUAUGCCUGAAUGGAUGUUCCUUGGAAGCAAAUUUUCCUUCUUUACUAUUUCAUUCCUAGUGUCUAUAACAUAAAAUAAGUGUUCCACAAAUUCUCGUAUGAUGAAAGAAUAAUAGAAUAUUAAUAUAAUAGAUAAAUUAAUAAAAUACGUUCACCUAUGUGCACUUUUACCUUAAAUAGUAAUAAUAAGCAGUUUUAACGUGUCUGAUGCUUUUCUAAUGCCAGUGCACAAUGCCUUCCUGUUUAUUUUGGGCCUCUUAGGCAGCCAGCUAACUAGGGAGCUCAUACCACUAAAUGAUUAUUGUGAGAACGGAGCAGGAAAGACAGGCAGUAGAUCCAGGAUUCAUCCAUUUGUAUUAUGUUAAAUACAAUGGUAAUCACACUAUUUUACCCAUUCUUCUCCUAGCUCCUUCUGAAUCCAAGGCAAAUAAACAAACUAUGCAAAGAAAUCAAACAUGACUUCUUCUUGGUCCUAUAAGAAGAUUGUUCAUGCUAUGCUUGUUAGAAGAGUUACAUGUAUACCUAUGAUCUUCGAAGACUAAAGAAAAUAUCAAGGAAACGUAUUUCAAUAAUGAUAUGGUCAAGACAUAGAGUUUCUUAUAUUAAUAAUACAAAGUUCACUUUCUGAAAAAAUGCACAUAUUGUUUAAGAUCGUCACAUAGUUUAUAUAUUUUAAUCGCUCCAUAAUUACGGAAUUAUUUUAAAUAAUAGCAAUAAUUAUAAUUGUAGUAUUUAAUGUCAAUAUUUCUACAAAUUAUAUUUAAGUAAAUAAGUAUAUUGUGAAAGGAGAGGGAUUCAGGAUCAGGGGUAUGUUCAAAAAUCUAUUUGUUUUUGUCAUUGUUGAAUAAAAAUCUCCCAUCUCAAAAUCUUUGUAAAAGGAUAUCCAUGGAAAAAAGAACCUAUUACUUUAUUCUCCAGUCAAAAUUAAAACUGGUUCACAAUGGCCACAUCUUCUAUUUAUACAUAAAACACAGCUUUUAACAUAGACUAAUUUUUGUCUGUUAAAAAUGAAAUUGAGAUUCAGUAAAGAUGGAUUCAAAUUCAAUACGUUAAAUCUAUUGUUUUAAAUAUACCAGGUCAUGUGUGCUCUCUCUUUUCCCUCCAACCCAUUUCACUCCCCUUCUUUCUCCUUUUGAACUGCUGACCCGAGUUAGUAGCCAAACAUAAUAAUACAGUGUUUGAUUCUCUGGAAACCCAUAAAAUUACAAACCAGCAACCACUAGGAUGUUGGCAGAAUUUCUGUGGACAGCAACCAGCAUGGUACUUUUUUUCUUUUUGAAAUGAAGCAGUACAUUGCAAUUGUUGAUACAGUACCAAGGAAGGGAAUAACGUCCACCAUAUGUCGCCCCCACCACCUAACUCUUUUGACUACUUGAGGUUGGGAGAGAGAAUUCAUCUAUUUAAAACAUGAAUGCCUUCUCUUUUAGCCUUUACUAUUUAAAGAUGCCUUUUUUCAUUUUUUUUAUUUUUAUUAAGCAGCAGUGGAGUUUUAUACUACUAUACUAAGUGCGACAGAAGAUAAACAUAUAAAUAAAACAUACCACUACAUGCCUUCAAGAAAAACAAAAUCUAAUAAAAUCUAAAAUCUAAUGGGAACUUCAAGUUUUACUGGAAAUUAGAGACUCUUUCUUCUCACUGCAACAGGAAUAUUUGAUUAGUCGUACAGCUGCAC